GUGCUUGCUUCAGCAGCACAUAUGCUAAAAUUGGAAUGAUACAGAGAAGAUUAGCAUGGCUCCUGCACAAGGAUGACACACAAAUUUUUGAAGCAUUCCAUAUUUUU
Molecule: small nuclear RNA, 107 nt
Organism: Erinaceus europaeus (western European hedgehog)
Lineage: Eukaryota; Metazoa; Chordata; Mammalia; Eulipotyphla; Erinaceidae
Source: Ensembl